GUUCAAUGAUGAUUAUGCCAUGCUAAUACUGAGACAAGGAUAAACAGAGCAACUGGUUGCCUGUUUUCUUGUCAAAGAGUUCAACUUUUUCUCAACCUGAGAACA
Small nucleolar RNA from Styela clava, 105 nucleotides. Lineage: Eukaryota; Metazoa; Chordata; Ascidiacea; Stolidobranchia; Styelidae. The record is from RefSeq and is a predicted model, not a curated record.